AAUCAGCGGUGAAGCACGAGCCAGAAGACACAAGAGGAAGCUACAGUAUGUGGAAGAGCUUGUGGAACAGGGAACAGGAGACUCUUCCUGGGACGAGCUGCCCAGCCAGGGUGCAGCUGACAGCCUGGCUUCCUUCAAGAAGUGGCGGGAUGCGAUUCUGAGAUCAAUCAGCGACUAACGAUCAAAUGGGCUGGCUGGGCUGAACAGAACUGCGCCAAUCGGCUUGAGCUGUUUCCUGACAGAAGGGGGCACUGGGAGAGAGGAGCUGUCCUGUCCUGACCUGUCCUGCGGAAGAGAGAGCCGGAGGCUCCUUGGGAAGCACAGCUACUGUCCAGUUCGUGCACCACGCUGGAAGGAUAAAGGGCACCUUUGCGAAUGCUGACCCCUGUCCACCUCGCUGGGCAGUGAGGACAGAGGCCCGUCGGGCUGCAGAAACCCUGUCUGCUCGUGGCUCAGAACCGGACUAAAUGUAGAACAGAGGCACAGGCAAACUCCUGGCUGGGAUGCUGGUGGGCUCGGACAAUCUGCCUGCUCCAGCGGUGCAGUGGACGUCAGAAGAAAUUCACAGCCGGACCUCCGUCAGCACAGACAUCUGAUGGAAAUAAAAUCUCAAUACAACGCCAAA
This is a long non-coding RNA of Lepisosteus oculatus (spotted gar), 625 nucleotides long. RefSeq lists it as uncharacterized. The record is from RefSeq and is a predicted model, not a curated record. Lineage: Eukaryota; Metazoa; Chordata; Actinopteri; Semionotiformes; Lepisosteidae.